CUACCUCCUGAACUUUUGGCGAGUUUUACUUAACCCCCCAAACUCCUAAAAUAGACAUCUAACACCCUAAACUCUAAUAUUUUAUUCGUUUUAUCCCUUCUAUCAGUUUUCGGUUAAUGGAGCUUGACGGAAAACUGACAGAAGGGGUAACAUGAACGAAAUAUUAUAGUUUAGGGGGUUAGAUGUGCAUUUUAGGAGUUCGAGGGGUAAAGUGAAACUUCGCCAAAAGUUAAGGGGGUAACAAUGUAAUUUAUCAUAUAUAUAUAUAUAUAUAUAGCAGGGCUGUUGUGCUCUCAGGAGCAUAGAGGCCUCCGUGCUCCUGAGCCGUUUUCGAUGACGGAGUUUUCGAAUCGACGAUCGGCUCCAUUAAACUUGAUCUAGCGUAUUUGAAGUUUUUAGAAAAUAAUUUUUGCGAUUUUUCGAUAUCAUUUACCUAGCAAUCGAAAGGAUUCAAAAUUAAUAAUUUUUAACGGCUGAAAAUAAAAAUCCUAUAAAAAGUGGUGAUAUAGUACUAAAAUUUUCGAUCAGAAAUAUUGAUCUUGUUGUAGAUAGUAUAAAGAAUUUUCUAUCAAAAUUUCAUCUGAUUUGAAUACUUCUACACCGUUAAACUUGAAAACGGCAGAUAUCAACCAUUAAAAAUUAUGGAUUUUGAAUCCUUUCGAUCACUAGGUAAAUGAUAUUAAAAAAUCGCAAAAAUUAUUUUCUACAAACUUCAAAUGCGCUAGAUCAAGUCUAACGGAGCCGAUCGUCGAUUCGAAAAUUCCAUCAUCGAAAACGGCUCAGGAGCACGGAGGCCUCCGUGCCUCCGUGCUCCUGAGCCGUUUUCGAUGACGGAGUUUUCGAAUCGACGAUCGGCUCCGUUAAACUUGAUCUAGCGUAUUUGAAGUUUUUAGAAAAUAAUUUUUGCGAUUUUUCGAUAUCAUUUACCUAGCAAUCGAAAGGAUUCAAAAUUAAUAAUUUUUAACGGCUGAAAAUAAAAAUCCUAUAAAAAGUGGUGAUAUAGUACUAAAAUUUUCGAUCAGAAAUAUUGAUCUUGUUGUAGAUAGUAUAAAGAAUUUUGUAUCAAAAUUUCAUCUGAUUUGAAAACUUCUCUACCGUUAAACUUGAAAACGGCAGAUAGCAACCAUUAAAAAUUAUGGAUGUUGAAUCCUUUCGAUCACUAAGUAAAUGAUAUUAAAAAAUCGUAAAAAUUAUUUUCUACAAACUUCAAAUGCGCUAGAUCAAGUCUAACGGAGCCGAUCGUCGAUUCGAAAAUUCCAUCAUCGAAAAUGGCUCAUGAGUACGGAGGCGUUCGUGCCUCCGUACUAAUAAAUUGUUUUCGAUGAUGGAGCUUCAGAAUUGACGAUCCACUCCGUUAAAUAUGAUCUAGAGUAUUUGAAACUUAUAAAAAAUAAAUUUUGUAAUUUUUUGAAAUCAUAAUAAAGUCCAUCAAACGGGCAUAAAAUGAACGGUCAAAAUCGAACGACGUCAUAAAAUAAGUAAUCAGAUCCUUUAAUUUAAGAUCAGAGUUAUUGAUCUUUAUCUAGAUAGCAAAUAGAAUUUUCUAUCCAAAAUUCAACCGAUUUCGUUUCUUUUAUACCGUUAAACUAGUAAGUAUCUCAUACCGGCCAUUAAAAAUUAUCAAUUUUAAGAUCUUUCGAUCGUAAGAUAAAUGAUGUCAAAAUAUUAUAAAAUUUGAUUUCUAGAAGUUUUAAAUGCUCUAUAUAACGUUUAACAGUAUGGAUCGUCGAUUCGGAAACUCUAUCAUUGAAAAUGACUCAUGAGUACGAAAACGAUCGUACUCAUAAUAGUAUAGUAGCCGGACACACACACUCUCUCUCUCUUUCUCUCUCUCUCUCUCUCUAUAUAUAUAUAUAUAUAUAUAUAUAU
This 1869-nucleotide long non-coding RNA is filed under the name Ananas comosus (pineapple). RNAcentral's name for it is "long non-coding RNA (ACOM_LNC035792)". Lineage: Eukaryota; Viridiplantae; Streptophyta; Magnoliopsida; Poales; Bromeliaceae. The record is from RNAcentral.